UACGUAGGGUGCAAGCGUUAAUCGGAAUUACUGGGUGUAAAGCGUGCGCAGGCGGUUUCGUAAGACAGAUGUGAAAUCCCCGGGCUUAACCUGGGAAUUGCAUUUGUGACUGCGGGACUAGAGUUUGGCAGAGGGAGGUGGAAUUCCAAGUGUAGCAGUGAAAUGCGUAGAUAUUUGGAAGAACACCGAUGGCGAAGGCAGCCUCCUGGGCCAAGACUGACGCUCAUGCACGAAAGCGUGGGGAGCAAACAGG
RNAcentral lists this ribosomal RNA (253 nucleotides) under Sutterella timonensis. RNAcentral's name for it is "partial 16S ribosomal RNA". It matches the Rfam family "Bacterial small subunit ribosomal RNA", at positions 524 to 776 of the family's 1533-position model. Lineage: Bacteria; Pseudomonadati; Pseudomonadota; Betaproteobacteria; Burkholderiales; Sutterellaceae. The record is from RNAcentral.